GGUCAAGCUGUAAAGGGCGCAAGGGGAAUGCCUUGGCACUGAGAGCCGAUGAAGGACGCGACAAGCUGCGAUAAGCUUCGGGGAGCCGCAAAUGGGCUUUGAUCCGAAGAUUUCCGAAUGGGGAAACCCGGCAGAGCAAUACUCUGUCAACGUUAACUGAAUCCAUAGGUUAACGU
RNAcentral lists this non-coding RNA (176 nucleotides) under Butyricicoccus pullicaecorum 1.2. RNAcentral describes it as "Bacterial large subunit ribosomal RNA". It matches the Rfam family "Bacterial large subunit ribosomal RNA", at positions 1 to 177 of the family's 2925-position model. Lineage: Bacteria; Bacillati; Bacillota; Clostridia; Eubacteriales; Butyricicoccaceae. The record is from Rfam by way of RNAcentral.